RNAcentral lists this transfer RNA (72 nucleotides) under Bos taurus (domestic cattle). It matches the Rfam family "tRNA". Rfam says of the family: Transfer RNA (tRNA) molecules are approximately 80 nucleotides in length. Their secondary structure includes four short double-helical elements and three loops (D, anti-codon, and T loops). RNAcentral also lists the same sequence under 3 other names. Lineage: Eukaryota; Metazoa; Chordata; Mammalia; Artiodactyla; Bovidae. The record is from Rfam by way of RNAcentral.
UCUCUGGUGGUCUGGUGGCUAAGACUCUGCACUCACAAUGCAGGAGGUCCGGGUUCAAAUCUGAUCAUGGAA